RNAcentral lists this ribosomal RNA (395 nucleotides) under uncultured bacterium. RNAcentral describes it as "bacterial SSU rRNA". It matches the Rfam family "Bacterial small subunit ribosomal RNA", at positions 505 to 898 of the family's 1533-position model. The record is from RNAcentral.
GUGUCAGCAGCCGCGGUAAUACGGAGGGUGCAAGCAUUGAUCGGAAUUACUGGGCGUAAAGGGCGCGUAGGCGGCCAAGAAAGUCAGAUGUGAAAUUCCGGGGCUCAACCCCGGAGCUGCAUUUGAAACUCCAUGGCUAGAGUACAGUUAGGGAAAACGGAAUUCCACGUGUAGCGGUGAAAUGCGUAGAUAUGUGGAAGAACACCGGUGGUGAAGACGGUUUUCUGGGCUGAAACUGACGCUGAGGCGCGAAAGCUAGGGGAGCAAACAGGAUUAGAUACCCUGGUAGUCCUAGCCUUAAACGAUGCAUACUAGGUGUAGGGGGGCUCAACCCCCUCUGUACCGGAGCUAACGCAUUAAGUAUGCCGCCUGGGGAGUACGCUCGCAAGGGUGAA